UACGUAGGGGGCGAGCGUUGUCCGGAUUUAUUGGGCGUAAAGAGCGUGUAGGCGGCCAGGUAGGUCAGCUGUGAAAACUCGAGGCUCAACCUCGAGAUGUCGGCUGAAACCAUCUGGCUAGAGUCCGGAAGAGGAGAGUGGAAUUCCUGGUGUAGCGGUGAAAUGCGCAGAUAUCAGGAAGAACACCCGUGGCGAAGGCGGCUCUCUGGGACGGUACUGACGCUGAGACGCGAAAGCGUGGGGAGCGAACAGG
Molecule: ribosomal RNA, 253 nt
Filed under: uncultured bacterium
Lineage: Bacteria
Description: partial 16S ribosomal RNA
Rfam family: Bacterial small subunit ribosomal RNA
Source: RNAcentral